AUCCUGUCUCACAACGAACGCUGGCGGCGUGGAUUACACAUGCUCCUCCAACUACUUUAUUUUGGUAGCAAUACCUACCGAAGCUACUGGCUAACGGGUGCGUAACACAUGAGUCAUCUGCGCACAAGUGGGGAAUAGCUCCGCGAAAGCCGGAUUAAUACCGCAUGUGGUCGUAAUACCAAAGCCGGGGCAACCUGGCGCUUUUGGAGGAGCUCGUGGCCUAUCACCUAUUUGGCGAGGUAACGGCUUACCAACGCAACUACAGGAAGCUGGUCUGACAGGACUACCACCCACACUGGAACUGAUAUACGGUCCAGACACCUACCGGUGGCACCAGUUUAUGAUUCUUCUCAUUGGGGGAAACCCUGAACGAUCCACGUCGCAUGAAGGAUUAAAUGCUUUCCGGUUGUAAGCUCCCUUUAUCUUGGGACACAGGCCAUACAUCUACUGACAUGGAUGAUUUGAGAUA
This 469-nucleotide ribosomal RNA is filed under the name uncultured Verrucomicrobiota bacterium. Its description in RNAcentral is "bacterial SSU rRNA". It matches the Rfam family "Bacterial small subunit ribosomal RNA", at positions 16 to 484 of the family's 1533-position model. Lineage: Bacteria; Pseudomonadati; Verrucomicrobiota. The record is from RNAcentral.